UGGGGAAUAUUGCACAAUGGAGGAAACUCUGAUGCAGCGACGCCGCGUGAGUGAAGAAGGUCUUCGGAUCGUAAAACUCUGUCCUUGGUGACGAAAAAAUGACGGUAGCCAAGGAGGAAGCCCCGGCUAACUACGUGCCAGCAGCCGCGGUAAUACGUAGGGGGCGAGCGUUGUCCGGAUUUACUGGGCGUAAAGGGUGAGUAGGCGGUAAUAUGUGUCAGAUGUAAAAGGCUAUGGCUUAACCAUAGUUAGCAUUUGAAACUGUAUUACUUGCGUGCAGGAGAGGUAAGUGGAAUUCCUAGUGUAGCGGUGAAAUGCGUAGAUAUUAGGAGGAACACCAGUGGCGAAGGCGACUUACUGGACUGUAACUGACGCUGAGUCACGAAAGCGUGGGUAGCAAACA
This 403-nucleotide ribosomal RNA is filed under the name uncultured bacterium. RNAcentral describes it as "bacterial SSU rRNA". It matches the Rfam family "Bacterial small subunit ribosomal RNA", at positions 355 to 774 of the family's 1533-position model. The record is from RNAcentral.